GAGGGUUCAGCUCAGUAGUAGAGCACGUGCUUAACAUGCACAAGGUCCUGGGUUCAAUCUCCAGUAACUUCA
RNAcentral lists this transfer RNA (72 nucleotides) under Camelus bactrianus (Bactrian camel). It matches the Rfam family "tRNA". From Rfam's summary of the family: Transfer RNA (tRNA) molecules are approximately 80 nucleotides in length. The record is from Rfam by way of RNAcentral. RNAcentral also lists the same sequence under 1 other name. Lineage: Eukaryota; Metazoa; Chordata; Mammalia; Artiodactyla; Camelidae.